CGGAUCGGAGUCUGCAACCCGACUCCGUGAAGCUGGAUUCGCUAGUAAUCGCGCAUCAGCCAUGGCGCGGUGAAUACGUUCCCGGGCCUUGUACACACCGCCCGUCAAGCCAUGGGAGCCGGGAGUGCUUGAAGUGCGUGACCGUAAAAGGAGCGCCCUAGGGCAAGACCGGUGACUGGGGCUAAGUCGUAACAAGGUACC
This 201-nucleotide ribosomal RNA is filed under the name uncultured bacterium. RNAcentral's name for it is "partial 16S ribosomal RNA". It matches the Rfam family "Bacterial small subunit ribosomal RNA", at positions 1294 to 1500 of the family's 1533-position model. The record is from RNAcentral.